Molecule: long non-coding RNA, 548 nt
Organism: Monomorium pharaonis (pharaoh ant)
Lineage: Eukaryota; Metazoa; Arthropoda; Insecta; Hymenoptera; Formicidae
Exons: 2
Source: RefSeq, a predicted model, not a curated record
UUUUCGUGUUGAUACCGAAACGAAUACACGCAUUUGCGUAGUAGCUGUGAGCAUAAUAAAAAUUAUUUGCAAUAAAUAAACAGAAAAGUGAUUUUUUACUCUUUUCGAAGUGCGAUAAAUCGGUGUGAAUUCUUUCAAAAAGGAUUUUAAUGCGCUGUUGCAAGCCAUUAAGUGUUGCUUAGCGGACAAUAAACCUGUCAAAGGGACUGCUAAAGCAUAUGGCAUUUCUCGGAGCAGUCUGCAACGCUAUGUGAAGAAAGUGGCAGCCCAAUUUGACAUUUCAUUCGUGGAAGAUGGUGUUUUGUUGGAAUUUGUCUGAACCUACUGCCACGGAAAUUAACCGCCGCAAACUCCAUUAAAUGCAAUGAAUGCAGUCGUCCGGUGCAUUUAAAGUGCGCUGAUAUGCGUACCAGCUACUUUACAUGCAAGCAUUGUGCUUCUGAUUUCGAAGAUGAAGAAGGCGACGAGUAAUGUGAAAACGUGUCAUCUUUUUUUGUUUUUUUGCCAGUAAAGGCUUUUAAAAUAAAUAAAUUUUUAUUUUCCCUUUA